Molecule: long non-coding RNA, 1059 nt
Organism: Micropterus salmoides (largemouth bass)
Lineage: Eukaryota; Metazoa; Chordata; Actinopteri; Centrarchiformes; Centrarchidae
Exons: 3
Source: RefSeq, a predicted model, not a curated record
UGCGUCUACGCAUGCGUAUUUCCUCUGAAUGGUGCAACGUUCAGGCUCUUGUUGAGUCGGAAUGUGUAUAAUCCAGGUUUUCAAGCAGGCUGAGAGGAGGGCAGUGGAGAUGGCAUUCUCUGAGGAUCUGGUGGUUCUGAAGGCAAACUGGGGAUGGUCCAGGCUGGCUGGGAGGUUGUUCUUUAUGUGCUGAAGAACGAGUUUCUCAAAGCACUUCAUCAGAAUGGGGACAGGCAGCGAAAGCAGUGAGACCAUCACCAGACAGUUAAGAUCAUCCCAGGUGAUACGGCCAACUUCAACUGCCGCCAGGGUAGUUGAGAGGGACACAUGGGUCCAUGCAUCACAGUGCGAAGUGUUUCCCCAGCGAGGAUCCCCUCCAACAACACAGACAAUGGCUGCAGUGCUCACCACCGUCCUGGUCAGCACAGCUAGGGUACUCCAACACCAGCUCAACAAGAUGGCAGACGUUUUUCUACAAGGAGCUCUCAACAAACAGACUCCACUAGUACUCAUAUAACCACAACACUGACACAGAUUAUAGAUUCAUUUGCACUCACCAGUCGAACUGAUGUCAUUUACACUGAUUUUCACAUUCACACUGUUUCACACAAGGAAGGAAAAUAACUGUCAUAACCAGUGAAGAUGCAAGAAGAGGAUGCAGAGGGGAGACGUAACAUUGGCAUGUUAUCAACGCAGGAGGAAGAGGACAUAAGAAGAGGGAUUCAGAAAAACCACAAGUAAACCAUGCAACCAAGAGAACACCACCUUACACAUUGCACACCCACUCAAGCCCCCUCCCAAUCAAUAGAGGAGGUUAGAACUGAUUUGGCCACGCUGUGAACAUGAAUUAGGAUUAUACACAGCAGAUCCAGAAAUGUUGACUCUGGUAGUAGAAAACUCAGUCAUUCUCUAUUUAUAUUUUAUUUUUUGUUUGUUUUCUUUUUCCUUCCACAUUUACCUCAUUUGUUUUGAAUCACAGUUUCACCAGCAAGACAAAAAUGGAAUUCAAGGGAGGGAAUAAAUUUAGGCACCUAGAGUUUUGUGGGAUAAAGGGAACAA